This 392-nucleotide ribosomal RNA is filed under the name uncultured bacterium. RNAcentral describes it as "partial 16S ribosomal RNA". It matches the Rfam family "Bacterial small subunit ribosomal RNA", at positions 523 to 918 of the family's 1533-position model. The record is from RNAcentral.
AUACGGAGGAUCCGAGCGUUAUCCGGAUCUAUUGGGUUUAAAGGGUGCGCAGGCGGCCAUUUAAGUCAGCGGUUAAAUCGUGGGGCUCAACCCCAUUCUGCCGUUGAUACUGGGUGGCUUGAUUGCGGUCGAGGUUGGCGGAAUUCGUUGUGUAGCGGUGAAAUGCAUAGAUAUGACGAAGAACACCGAUUGCGUAGGCAGCUGACCAGACCGCAAAUGACGCUCAUGCACGAAAGUGCGGGGAUCGAACAGGAUUAGAUACCCUGGUAGUCCGCACAGUAAACGAUGAAUACUUGUUUUCGGCGAUAUAAUGUCGGAGGCAAAGCGAAAGCGAUAAGUAUUCCACCUGGGGAGUACGCCGGCAACGGUGAAACUCAAAUGAAUUGGCGGGG